RNAcentral lists this unclassified non-coding RNA (1493 nucleotides) under Hevea brasiliensis (rubber tree). The record is from RNAcentral. Lineage: Eukaryota; Viridiplantae; Streptophyta; Magnoliopsida; Malpighiales; Euphorbiaceae.
GCAACUAAAGAGAUCCACCAAGAACAAGAGGCAAAGGGUGAAGAAAUUCUAGGCAAUAAGGUGUUAUUAGAGGAAACUCAAACUGAAGUGUUAUGCAAGGAAAUUGUCAAAACUGAUGCAAGUGAGACAAUUCAAAAGCAGAUCAAUACAGAAAAGGGAAUAGUUGAGAACCUUUACCAACCUGUUGUUGACAAUGUCUCAAGUGAAGAAGCAACUGAAGAGAUUCACCAAGAACAUAAGAUCAAGGGUGAAGAAAGUCUAGGAGAUAAGAUGUUAGCAAAGGAAAUACAGAAUGAAGCUUUAUGCAAGGAAAUUCAAAAGACAGAUGCAAGUGAGACAAUUGAAAAACAUAUCAGCACAGAAAUAGGAGCAGUUGAUAACCUUCACCAAGUUGUUGUUCAGAAUAAGACUGCAGAAGUGCACUUUCCAGAUGAAACAUGGGAAAAAAAUGUUCAGAAGACAGAAGGGAAACCAAUCAUUGAAAAUCAGGGUGAUGAGACAAUAUCUAGAGAUGGUAUAACAGAAGCCACAACUGCAACUGAAAAGAAAUCAACUGAAAAGAAAUUGGGUGCAGAGACAUCACAAAUAGAAGUUGCCACAGGCCUUGCAAAAGCCUCUGAAACCACUAAGGACAUUCAUCAGGAAGAGAGUACCUCUGAUGGAACAUUGGAAAACCAGAGAUUGAGAGAAGUAGAGCUAGAUACAAUCAUUUCAACCGGAAAGAAAGAUGUUCCACAGAUGCUGCAAGAACUAGUUGCAGGAACCACAAAAGUUACUGAAAUAGGAGGUUCACAGCAUGUAUAUGCUACAGAUGUGGAUUCAGAAGUAAAAGGAGUUGAACAUGGAUCAGAUAAUAUAGUGGAUGAGAAAGAUGAAAAAGCAAUUGAGGAGACAGUUUCAAAGGAUUCAACCAAAUUUUCAUUAUUUGACAUGAUGCAGAAAUCCACGAGAGAAAGGCAAGCAGCUGGAGAAUUGACUGAAGCUAAAGAACCAACAGCAACAAAAGAAGAAAUGAAAGUUGAAAAACAAACCGAACAAACAAAAAGGGCAAAAUCUGAUGAAGAAGAAGAAGAGGAAGGAGAGGAGCACAAAAAGAAUGACUCGGGCUCUGAAGCUCCAGUAAUUGUAGAAGCCUCAAGGGGCAUAGACAUUAAGGUUGCACACAAGAAAUCCCAUAACAUAUUAUCUGGUGUUGGAUCAAAGGUGAAGCAUUCCAUUUCCAAGGUGAAGAAAGCCAUUACUGGCAAGUCCUCUCAUCCAAAGCAACAAUCACUAAAAUGAAGUACAAAAUACUAGGUGACAAAAACAAAAUUCAUUCAAAGGGUUGUUCUCAUUUGAUGUUUUGAUUAUAGGAUUAAGGUUUGAAGUGUGGUGUGUGCAUAUAGGUAGCUUGUAAGUACAAAUUCAGAUUCUGCACAUAUAUGUAUAGAGAGUUGAACAUGCCAUGAUUGUAAUGCAUUAUUGUUUGCAAGAAGAAGCUCUACUGUGGAAAA